This 475-nucleotide ribosomal RNA is filed under the name uncultured bacterium. Its description in RNAcentral is "bacterial SSU rRNA". It matches the Rfam family "Bacterial small subunit ribosomal RNA", at positions 53 to 564 of the family's 1533-position model. The record is from RNAcentral.
ACAUUUUAGUCNAACGUGNAGCCACCUUCGGGUGGUGGAAAGUGGCGGACGGGUGAGUAACGCGUGGGAACGUGCCUUUCGGUUCGGGAUAACCCAGGGAAACUUGGGCUAAUACCGGAUACGCCCUCCGGGGGAAAGAUUUAUCGCCGAAAGAUCGGCCCGCGUCGGAUUAGCUAGUUGGUGGGGUAAUUGCCUACCAAGGCGACGAUCCGUAGCUGGUCUGAGAGGAUGAUCAGCCACACUGGGACUGAGACACGGCCCAGACUCCUACGGGAGGCAGCAGUGGGGAAUAUUGGACAAUGGGCGCAAGCCUGAUCCAGCCAUGCCGCGUGGGUGAAGAAGGCCCUAGGGUUGUAAAUCCCUUUCAGCGGGGAAGAUAAUGACGGUACCCGCAGAAGAAGCCCCGGCUAACUCCGUGCCAGCAGCCGCGGUAAUACGGAGGGGGCUAGCGUUGUUCGGAAUUACUGGGCGUAAA